ACUAGCAGGGGCCUCAUCCUCCGCGAAGGCCUCUUCUAUGCCGACGUACUUCUCUGCCUUAGCCAGCAUGUCGGAAAGUUUCAAGGAUAAGUUUUCAAUAAUGACUUCUUCAAGUUGUUCUUCUACAGUUCGCUCAUCAUUGCGGAUAUUGUGACCGACUGGUCGAGGUCGUGAACUUCAAACGUAGUUGUAUUAAAGUG
RNAcentral lists this long non-coding RNA (200 nucleotides) under Elaeis guineensis (African oil palm). Its description in RNAcentral is "long non-coding RNA (EGUI_LNC082253)". The record is from RNAcentral. Lineage: Eukaryota; Viridiplantae; Streptophyta; Magnoliopsida; Arecales; Arecaceae.